Molecule: unclassified non-coding RNA, 345 nt
Filed under: soil metagenome
Description: partial contains 5.8S ribosomal RNA, internal transcribed spacer 2, and large subunit ribosomal RNA
Rfam family: 5.8S ribosomal RNA (bases 1-120)
Source: RNAcentral
GAUGAAGAACGUAGCGAAAUGCGAUAAGUAGUGUGAAUUGCAGAAUUCAGUGAAUCAUCGAAUCUUUGAACGCACAUUGCGCCCCCUGGUAUUCCGGGGGGCAUGCCUGUCCGAGCGUCAUUGCUGCCCUCAAGCACGGCUUGUGUGUUGGGCUCCGCCCCCCUCCCGGGGGGCGGGCCCGAAAGGCAGCGGCGGCACCGCGUCCGGUCCUCGAGCGUAUGGGGCUUUGUCACCCGCUCUGUAGGCCCGGCCGGCGCCCGCCGGCGACCCCAAUCAAUCUUUCCAGGUUGACCUCGGAUCAGGUAGGGAUACCCGCUGAACUUAAGCAUAUCAAUAAGCGGAGGA